ACUACAUUUUGUUUGACACAUGUCAUUGUCCCAUGUGACGUAGUAGGUCAGGUUGCCGCCAAAACUUGGUCGGAUCUUGUACGAACGUCUGCUAACCUGUCUGUGAAGAUGAAAGUUCUUUACAUACUUUCCCUCGUUCUGCUUGCCGUCUGCACUGUGUUGGCGGGAAAAUCAGGUCUAAAGCGCCAGGCCAACUACGCCGAGUGCCUUAAAGAUUGCGGUGAUGACAUCCCGUGCUUAAUGAGCUGUUCGAUUAGGUUCCCUAGUUAGCUGCUCGAUGACGUCAUGUAGCAGUUCAGCAACGGAUGUGGAUCUCAAGACUUUCCAGCUAUGCUAUACACA
Molecule: long non-coding RNA, 342 nt
Organism: Physella acuta
Lineage: Eukaryota; Metazoa; Mollusca; Gastropoda; Physidae
Source: RefSeq, a predicted model, not a curated record